CGGUGUUCAACUGGCGUGCCCGCGGGACGUCCUGCCGGUGAGCUCAGCCCGCGAGGGCGGCUCAACUUGAAAUCCCAUCGCGGUGCUCUUCAUUGAGUGUCGAGGUGGGCCGGCACGAUUACUUUUGAACAAAUUAGAGUGCUUAAAGCAGGCUAAAAUUUUGCCUGAAUACUGUGUAUAUGGAAUAAUGGAAUAGGACCUCGGUUCUAUUUUGUUGGUUUUCGGAACCCCGAGGUAAUGAUUAAUAGGAACGGAUGGGGGCAUUCGUAUUGCGACGUUAGAGGUGAAAUUCUUGGAUCGUCGCAAGACGGACUAAAGCGAAAGCAUUUGCCAAAAACGCUUUCAUUGAUCAAGAACGAAAGUUAGGGGUUCGAAGGCGAUCAGAUACCGCCCUAGUUCUAACCAUAAACUAUGCCAGCUAGCGAUCCGCCGACGUCCCUCUGAUGACUCGGCGGGCAGCUUCCGGGAAACCAAAGCUUUUGGGUUCCGGGGGAAGUAUGGUUGCAAAGCUGAAACUUAAAGGAAUUGACGGAAGGGCACCACCAGGAGUGGAGCCUGCGGCUUAAUUUGACUCAACACGGGAAACCUCACCAGGCCCAGACACUGGAAGGAUUGACAGAUUGAGAGCUCUUUCUUGAUUCAGUGGGUGGUGGUGCAUGGCCGUUCUUAGUCGGUGGAGCGAUUUGUCAGGUUAAUUCCGAUAACGGACGAGACUCUGACCUGAUAACUAGACGCACUUGCGGCAUCUCAAAGGUCCGCCGGCGGCUGGCUUUGCGCCCGUCGUCGCGCGCGAUUUUUACUGCCGGCGUACAAUAAAUUCUUCUUAGAGGGACAAGUGG
RNAcentral lists this ribosomal RNA (839 nucleotides) under uncultured eukaryote. RNAcentral describes it as "SSU rRNA". It matches the Rfam family "Eukaryotic small subunit ribosomal RNA", at positions 635 to 1426 of the family's 1831-position model. The record is from RNAcentral.